Molecule: ribosomal RNA, 159 nt
Filed under: Roldana petasitis var. sartorii
Lineage: Eukaryota; Viridiplantae; Streptophyta; Magnoliopsida; Asterales; Asteraceae
Description: 5.8S ribosomal RNA
Rfam family: 5.8S ribosomal RNA
About the family: 5.8S ribosomal RNA (5.8S rRNA) is a component of the large subunit of the eukaryotic ribosome. It is transcribed by RNA polymerase I as part of the 45S precursor that also contains 18S and 28S rRNA. Functionally, it is thought that 5.8S rRNA may be involved in ribosome translocation.
Source: RNAcentral
GACUCUCGGCAACGGAUAUCUCGGCUCACGCAUCGAUGAAGAACGUAGCAAAAUGCGAUACUUGGUGUGAAUUGCAGAAUCCCGUGAACCAUCGAGUUUUUGAACGCAAGUUGCGCCCAAAUCCUUUCGGCUGAGGGCACGUCUGCCUGGGCGUCACAC